GACGAACGCUGGCGGCGCGCUUAACACAUGCAAGUCGAGCGAGAACCAGGACUUCGGUCCUGGGGACAGCGGCGAACGGGUGAGUAACACGUGGAUAACCUGCCCUCGGCACCGGGAUAGCCCGAGGAAACUCGGAUUAAUACCGGAUAGCCCUUCCGACUCUCGAGUCGGUCCGAAAAGGUAGCUUCGGCCUCUGGCCGAGGAUGGGUCCGCGGCGGAUUAGCUUGUUGGUGGGGUAACGGCCUACCAAGGCAUCGAUCCGUAGCUGGUCUGAGAGGACGAUCAGCCACACUGGGACUGAGACACGGCCCAGACUCCUACGGGAGGCAGCAGUGGGGAAUCUUGCGCAAUGGGCGAAAGCCUGACGCAGCGACGCCGCGUGAGGGAAGAAGGCCUCGGUUGUAACUACUU
This 411-nucleotide ribosomal RNA is filed under the name uncultured bacterium. Its description in RNAcentral is "bacterial SSU rRNA". It matches the Rfam family "Bacterial small subunit ribosomal RNA", at positions 28 to 435 of the family's 1533-position model. The record is from RNAcentral.